This 335-nucleotide long non-coding RNA is filed under the name Lathyrus oleraceus (garden pea). RNAcentral describes it as "Pisum sativum (pea) long non-coding RNA (PSAT_LNC041526)". The record is from RNAcentral. Lineage: Eukaryota; Viridiplantae; Streptophyta; Magnoliopsida; Fabales; Fabaceae.
AAAACAUUAAUAAAAAUUUAAUUACAUGUAUAUGUAACUUCUAAACUAAUAAAUAUGUUUAUUUAACUUGUUUCGAUUUUUUUUUUUUUUGCGAUUUUCCCAUAUAAAGAGCAAACACUAGAUUUAUACCAGCAUUUAUAGACCAUAUUAUAGGACUUCUCCAUUCGACCAAAGAGGCUAAUGCUGCCCCUGGAAUUACUCCCAUCUAACUUAUACCUGAAGAGAGAGACAAUGCUAACGACCGAAUAUGCAUGAAGAGUAGAUGCCUAAGAAAAUAUAUAAUUAUAUUAAUAUUAAAUAUGUCUUUUCAAUUUUUAGUAAAUACAUGUGCGUNN